AGAGUUUGAUCCUGGCUCAAGAUGAACGCUAGCUACAGGCUUAACACAUGCAAGUCGAGGGGCAGCAUGGGAUUAGCUUGCUAAUCCUGAUGGCGACCGGCGCACGGGUGCGUAACGCGUAUCCAACCUGCCCUCUACUCCGGAACAGCCCGUCCAAAGGCGGAUUAAUGCCGGAUGGUGUCAGAUGCCCGCAUGGGCUUGUGACUAAAGGCAACGGUAGAGGAUGGGGAUGCGACUGAUUAGCUUGUUGGCGGGGUAACGGCCCACCAAGGCAACGAUCAGUAGGGGUUCUGAGAGGAAGGUCCCCCACAUUGGAACUGAGACACGGUCCAAACUCCUACGGGAGGCAGCAGUGAGGAAUAUUGGUCAAUGGGCGAGAGCCUGAACCAGCCAAGUAGCGUGCGGGAAGACGGCCCUAUGGGUUGUAAACCGCUUUUGAUUGGGAACAAAGAGCGCCACGUGUGGUGCGUUGCGUGUACCUUUCGAAUAAUCAUCGGCUAAUUCCGUGCCAGCAGCCGCGGUAAUACGGAAGAUGCGAGCGUUAUCCGGAUUUAUUGGGUUUAAAGGGAGCGUAAGCGGGCUGUUAAGUCAGCGGUCAAAUGUCAUGGCCCAACCUUGGCAUGCCGUUGAUACUGGCGGUCUUGAGUUCACACAAGGAAGGUGGAAUUCAUCGUGUACCGGUGAAAUGCUUAUAUAUGACGAAUAACUCCGAUUGCGAAGGCAGCCUUCUGGGGUGUUACUGACGCUGAGCUCGAAAGUGCGGGAAUCAAACAGGAUUAGAUACCCUGGUAGUCCGCUCCGCAAACGAUGAGCGCCCGUCAUUGGCGACACAUAGUCAGUGACAAUGGGAAUCCGUUAGCGCUCCACCUGGGGAGUACGCCGGCAACGGUGAAACUCAAAGGAAUUGACAGGGGCCCGCACAAGCGGAGGAACAUGUGGUUUAAUUCGAUGAUACGCGAGGAACCUUACCCGGGCUUGAAUUGCAGAGGAAGGAACUGGAGACAGUGACGCCCUUCGGGGCCUCUGUGAAGGUGCUGCAUGGUCGUCGUCAGCUCGUGCCGUGAGGUGUCGGCUUAAGUGCCAUAACGAGCGCAACCCUCGCUGUCAGUUGCCAUCAGUUAAAGCUGGGCUCUUUGGCGGGACUGCCAUCGCAAGAUGUGAGGAAGGUGGGGAUGACGUCAAAUCAGCACGGCCCUUACGUCCGGGGCUACACACGUGUUACAAUGGGGGGUACAGAGCGUUGCUUUCACGCGAGUGAUUGCGGACCGCAAAAACCCUUCUCAGUUCGGACUGGAGUCUGCAACCCGACUCCACGAAGCUGGAUUCGGUAGUAAUCGCGCAUCAGCCAUGGCGCGGUGAAUACGUUCCCGGCCCUUGCACACACCGCCCGUC
This 1392-nucleotide ribosomal RNA is filed under the name uncultured bacterium. Its description in RNAcentral is "bacterial SSU rRNA". It matches the Rfam family "Bacterial small subunit ribosomal RNA". The record is from RNAcentral.